GGAAUCUUGCGCAAUGGGCGAAAGCCUGACGCAGCAACGCCGCGUGCGGGAAGAAGGCUUUCGGGCUGUAAACCGCUUUCAGUAGGAACGAAACUGACGGUACCUACAGAAGAAGGAGCGGCCAACUAUGUGCCAGCAGCCGCGGUGACACAUAGGCUCCAAGCGUUGUCCGGAUUUAUUGGGCGUAAAGAGCUCGUAGGCGGUUGAGUAAGUCGUGUGUGAAAACUUUGGGCUUAACCCAAAGAUGCCACUCGAUACUGCUUUGACUUGAGUUCGGUAGGGGAGUGGGGAAUUCCUUGUGUAGCGGUGAAAUGCGCAGAUAUAAGGAGGAACACCGGUGGCGAAGGCGCCACUCUGGGCCGAAACUGACGCUGAGGAGCGAAAGCGUGGGGAGCAAACAGGAUUAGAUACCCUGGUAGUCCACGCGGUAAACGGUGGUCACUAGGUGUGGGUCUCUUCAAACGAGAUCUGCGCCGUCGCUAACGCAUUAAGUGACCCGCCUGGGGAGUACGGUCGCAAGACUAAAACUCAAAUGAAUUGACGG
Molecule: ribosomal RNA, 544 nt
Filed under: uncultured bacterium
Lineage: Bacteria
Description: bacterial SSU rRNA
Rfam family: Bacterial small subunit ribosomal RNA
Source: RNAcentral